UGAUUAGAUACCCCACUAUGCUCAGCCCUAAAUCUUGAUACUUGGUCUACUAAAGUAUCCGCCCGAGAACUACGAGCACAAACGCUUAAAACUCUAAGGACUUGGCGGUGCCCUAAACCCACCUAGAGGAGCCUGUUCUAGUA
Molecule: ribosomal RNA, 143 nt
Filed under: Nyctanassa violacea (yellow-crowned night heron)
Lineage: Eukaryota; Metazoa; Chordata; Aves; Pelecaniformes; Ardeidae
Description: partial small subunit ribosomal RNA
Source: RNAcentral